GGAAGUAAAAGCCGUAACAAGGUUUCCGUAGGUGAACCUGCGGAAGGAUCAUUAUUGUAUAACCGAGGUGCGAGGGCUGUCGCUGACCCGAAAGGUCAUGCACGCCCGAGUGCCCUCACACACAUCCAUCUCACCCCUAUGUGCACCACCGCGUGGGUCCCCCUUUGGCUUGUUCGGAGGGGGGCUUACGUUUUCACACAAACUUUGUAUGCAGUGUAGAAUGUAUUUUUUGUUUUUGCGAUCACGCAAUCAAUACAACUUUCAACAACGGAUCUCUUGGCUCUC
Molecule: unclassified non-coding RNA, 285 nt
Filed under: plant metagenome
Description: partial contains small subunit ribosomal RNA, internal transcribed spacer 1, and 5.8S ribosomal RNA
Rfam family: Eukaryotic small subunit ribosomal RNA (bases 1-54)
Source: RNAcentral